Molecule: non-coding RNA, 2008 nt
Organism: Rattus norvegicus (Norway rat)
Lineage: Eukaryota; Metazoa; Chordata; Mammalia; Rodentia; Muridae
Source: RefSeq, a predicted model, not a curated record
CAGCGUGCAUUGGGGUGCUCUCCGAGCAUAGCAGAGAAUGGUGACACUCUUUGGAGAACUCGGAAAUCUUCCUCUCCCGUUCAUGCUUCAUCUGCCACCUUCAAGACAAAACACUGCGAAUUCAUCUUUGUGCCUGCUCUGCAGAGCAGAAUGUUGACACAGUUUUUGUAGAAUGCCCAGCUAGUUCUCAAAAGACAGGAAGACAGGCAAACCCUUUGGAAUAACCACUGAGACCAAACCAUGCAGGAGACGUCAGGACACGCCAACACUCUCCUGCUUCAGCCCAGUUAUGGAUCAGGAUUCCAAGAGGAAAGAAGGAAUUAUCAUCUGUCCUCAGGGAGCAAAAGAAACUCAGAUGUGAGCAAAAGCAGGAAGAGACACACCCCCCUCAUAACUGACCAAUUCAAUUGUAACCUGGAAAGCACUGGGCAGUGUGUUCAACAGAGAACUCAACCAAAAUGGAUGACUUAGAGGCUCCCCCAGGCAGGCAAUCCUGAGGCGACGUAGCUUCUGUAUACAAGGGAUGUCUUCUCAGGCUGGAGGCAGACAUCAAUACCUGAUGGUAUCCAGGAAGGAUGCAGGACAUGGCUACUUCCCAAAUGCCUCUGCCUCUGGGAGGGGGCCCGCCUUGGAAGUCCCUGAGCUUGUCUGAUUAGAACAAUAGAAACGCUGGUGUUCUAUGCCCAUCCCCAACCUAGCUCCUAACUACGGCUAAUGGAACCGUUAGAUCGGACAUAGGCUAGUCUAUGGGAGAAGAAUGGCUUUCUGAGCAAAACACUGGUGUGCUUAGAGAAGGUUUGGGAUCAACAAGAACACAGCUAAAGUGAACAUUCAAUUCGAGGAGGUCAAAUCAAGCCGGAAUCCUGGAGCUCACAGCAAGAACCCAGCAGAGCAGACUUGGCUCUGGGAGGGCAUAGCCUUGGACUAGCCACCACGACUGCACUUCUUGGACAGCUUGCGUGAGUUGACAGUUCCCGUCCCCAGAUCCCCAAAUGUCUUACUCUGCGGUUCUAGGGUUCAAGGGCGGAAGCUGCUGAGAUAAUUACAUGGUAGGGAAGGACCCCUCAGAGGCAUAACCUCAGCAAGUUACAUGGGCCGUGGAGAUGUUUGAUUUGACCCUUGACCCUUCACUUUGUGGAGGCCAGGAAUGGCUCAAUGGCUUGGGAAGUUCGCUAUGUGAUAAUUAUGCUAGUUUCCGUAGCAGCAGCAUUCAUCAUGUGAGCAUAGAAUAAUCUCCUGUGACAAGACCGCUACUUCUGCUCCUCACCUGUGAGGUGUGGAAGCUGAGGGGCCGGGAGCCCAUUAGCCAGGUUCUGAAGUUUGCGCUUGAAUGUGCCCAUUCCAGGUGUACUUCAUUGUCUACCCACAUUUCUGCAUCGUGCAAGCCACACCUGCCCUGGCCUUACCAUUCGCUUGGGUUACACAUGGCUUCACCUCAUUCCUAGCAGGCCAGACAAUAGACCGUCAAGCCAUUUAUCUGUGUCCUGGGCUAGAGAGAACUUCCAAAAGGAGGCUGGAAGUGAACCUCUGUUAGGAUGUGCUCUGUCUAGCAUGUUUGGCCCUGUUCUCUCCCGGGAUGAUCUGGAUCAAGGAGAUUCACAUUGUGCUUAUCUGACCUCUGUUUGUUUUCCCAGGAUUCUAGACCCAGCCCAUCCGCCAUUUUUUCCAGCUAAUGCUCUGAAGGACUGCAUCCAGACAGCAUUCUGUGGGCUCCAAGCGCCUUUCUCUUCUCUCCACUCUUGCUGGCAGGAGGGAAUAUUCAGGCGCUCAAAAUAAUUGCACAAGACCAGAUGCCCAAUGUCCUUGUGUCUCAGUAACUUCUCAGGCACUCAAACUCAACUGCAGCCCUGGAUGCUGAGGGUACCUGGCAGGCCAUCCAUGUCUCCAGCAGGGUGGACUUAGCUUCUCUGGAGCAGUGAAGACCGGCCUCAAACAAACAUGGAAAGUUACAGUGAACCCAGCCCCUGGGGCCCUUGCCACCCAGCUGGGGCAGCUUAGGAAGCCAGAU